GAUGAACGCUAGCGGCAGGCCUAACACAUGCAAGUCGAGGGGCAUCAUGGCGUAGCAAUACGCUGAUGGCGACCGGCGCACGGGCGCGUAACGCGUAUGGAACCUACCCACCGCAGGGGGAUAACCCGCCGAAAGGCGGACUAAUACCCCAUGGUUCCCCGACCCUGCCUGGGGUUGGGGGUAAAGCCUACGGGCGGCGGUGGAUGGCCCUGCGUGCCAUUAGCUGGCUGGUGGGGUAACGGCCCACCAGGGCGACGAUGGCUAGGGGGUCUGAGAGGACGAUCCCCCACACUGGUACUGAGACACGGACCAGACUCCUACGGGAGGCAGCAGUGAGGAAUAUUGGUCAAUGGGCGGAAGCCUGAACCAGCCAUGCCGCGUGAGGGAAGAAGGUUUUCGGAUUGUAAACCUCUGUUCUUGGAGAAGAGGAGAAGACGGUAUCCAAGGAGGAAGCCCCGGCUAACUACGUG
RNAcentral lists this ribosomal RNA (470 nucleotides) under uncultured bacterium. RNAcentral's name for it is "bacterial SSU rRNA". It matches the Rfam family "Bacterial small subunit ribosomal RNA", at positions 28 to 507 of the family's 1533-position model. The record is from RNAcentral.